CCUACGGGAGGCAGCAGUGGGGAAUAUUGGACAAUGGGGGGAACCCUGAUCCAGCGACGCCGCGUGAGUGAAGAAGUAUUUCGGUAUGUAAAGCUCUAUCAGCAGGGAAGAAAGAAAUGACGGAACCUGACUAAGAAGCCCCGGCUAACUACGUGCCAGCAGCCGCGGUAAUACGUAGGGGGCAAGCGUUAUCCGGAUUUACUGGGUGUAAAGGGGGCGUAGACGGCGAUGCAAGUCUGAAGUGAAAGGCGGGGGCCCAACCCCCGGACUGCUUUGGAAACUGUAUGGCUGGAGUGCAGGAGAGGUAAGUGGAAUUCCUAGUGUAGCGGUGAAAUGCGUAGAUAUUAGGAGGAACACCAGUGGCGAAGGCGGCUUACUGGACUGUAACUGACGUUGAGGCUCGAAAGCGUGGGGAGCAAACAGGAUUAGAUACCCGAGUAGUC
This 443-nucleotide ribosomal RNA is filed under the name uncultured bacterium. Its description in RNAcentral is "partial 16S ribosomal RNA". It matches the Rfam family "Bacterial small subunit ribosomal RNA", at positions 338 to 795 of the family's 1533-position model. The record is from RNAcentral.